UCCCCAAUAGCUCAGCAGGUAAAGCAUAAGACUCUUAAUCUCAGGGUUGUGAGUUCAAGUCCCACGUUGGGCAA
This 74-nucleotide transfer RNA is filed under the name Podarcis lilfordi (Lilford's wall lizard). RNAcentral describes it as "tRNA.Lys". It matches the Rfam family "tRNA". From Rfam's summary of the family: Transfer RNA (tRNA) molecules are approximately 80 nucleotides in length. Their secondary structure includes four short double-helical elements and three loops (D, anti-codon, and T loops). Lineage: Eukaryota; Metazoa; Chordata; Lepidosauria; Squamata; Lacertidae. The record is from RNAcentral.